AUUGAACGCUGGCGGCAUGCCUUACACAUGCAAGUCGAACGCGAAAGGGGGCAACCCCGAGUAGAGUGGCGAACGGGUGAGUAACGCAUCGGAACGUACCCUGGAGUGGGGGAUAACCUAGCGAAAGUUAGGCUAAUACCGCAUACGCUCUUCGGAGGAAAGUGGGGGACCGCAAGGCCUCACGCUCAAGGAGCGGCCGAUGUCCGAUUAGCUAGUUGGUGGGGUAAAAGCCCACCAAGGCGACGAUCGGUAGCUGGUCUGAGAGGAUGACCAGCCACACUGGGACUGAGACACGGCCCAGACUCCUACGGGAGGCAGCAGUGGGGAAUUUUCCGCAAUGGGCGAAAGCCUGACGGAGCAAGACCGCGUGGGGGAGGAA
Molecule: ribosomal RNA, 379 nt
Filed under: uncultured Pseudomonadota bacterium
Lineage: Bacteria; Pseudomonadati; Pseudomonadota
Description: bacterial SSU rRNA
Rfam family: Bacterial small subunit ribosomal RNA
Source: RNAcentral